Molecule: ribosomal RNA, 440 nt
Filed under: uncultured bacterium
Lineage: Bacteria
Description: bacterial SSU rRNA
Rfam family: Bacterial small subunit ribosomal RNA
Source: RNAcentral
AGCGAACGCUGGCGACAUGCUUAACACAUGCAAGUCGCACGGUCGGGGGUAACUUCGGCAGUGGCGGACGGGUGAGUAACGCGUAGGCAUCUAUCCUGGGGUGGGGGAUAACGGCGGGAAACUGCUGCUAAUACCGCAUGAAACCUGAGGGUCAAAGGCGCGAGUCGCCUUGGGAGGAGCCUGCGUCUGAUUAGCUAGUUGGUGGGGUAACUGCCUACCAAGGCGAUGAUCGGUAGCUGGUCUGAGAGGAUGAUCAGCCACACUGGGACUGAGACACGGCCCAGACUCCUACGGGAGGCAGCAGUGGGGAAUAUUGGACAAUGGGCGCAAGCCUGAUCCAGCAAUGCCGCGUGUGUGAAGAAGGUUUUCGGAUUGUAAAGCACUUUCGGCGGGGACGAUGAUGACGGUACUCGCAGAAGAAGCCCCGGCUAACUUCGUGC